AUGGGAUGGAGCUGCAUCAUCCUCUUCCUGGUGACAGCAGCUACAGGUGUCCACUCUCAGGUCCAGCUGCAGCAGUCUGGGGCUGACCUGGUGAAGCCUGGUGCCUCAGUGAAGUUGUCCUGCCAGACUUCAGGCUUCAACUUCAUUAAUAGCUAUAUGCACUGGGUGAAACAGAAACCUGGACAUGGCCUGGAGUGGAUUGGAAGGAUUGAUCCAGAAAAUGGUGAUACUAAGUACAACCAGAAGUUCCAGGGCAAGGCCACAGUGACUGCAGAGACAUCAUCCAGCACCACCUACAUGGAGCCCAGCAGCCUGACAUCUGAGGACUCUGCUGUCUAUUACUGUGCAAUCACAUCCUGA
Molecule: non-coding RNA, 360 nt
Organism: Cricetulus griseus (Chinese hamster)
Lineage: Eukaryota; Metazoa; Chordata; Mammalia; Rodentia; Cricetidae
Source: the annotation of a RefSeq genome assembly